CAGUCGCCGCGGGAAUACGUAGGGUGCGAGCGUUAAUCGGAAUUACUGGGCGUAAAGCGUGCGCAGGCGGUUUUGUAAGACAGGCGUGAAAUCCCCGGGCUCAACCUGGGAAUGGCGCUUGUGACUGCAAAGCUAGAGUGCGGCAGCGGGGGAUGGAAUUCCGCGUGUAGCAGUGAAAUGCGUAGAUAUGCGGAGGAACACCGAUGGCGAAGGCAAUCCCCUGGGCCUGCACUGACGCUCAUGCACGAAAGCGUGGGGAGCAGACAGGAUUAGAUACCCGAGUAGUCCCUGUCUCUUAUAC
Molecule: ribosomal RNA, 301 nt
Filed under: uncultured bacterium
Lineage: Bacteria
Description: partial 16S ribosomal RNA
Rfam family: Bacterial small subunit ribosomal RNA
Source: RNAcentral